GCCCGGAUAGCCCAACCGGCAGGAGGCCCGCCGCUUAGGACGGCGACAGUGCGCGUUCGAAUCGCGCUCCGGGCAC
This 76-nucleotide transfer RNA is filed under the name Polymorphospora rubra. RNAcentral's name for it is "tRNA-Leu". The record is from RNAcentral. Lineage: Bacteria; Bacillati; Actinomycetota; Actinomycetes; Micromonosporales; Micromonosporaceae.